UACUUCCUUGUAAAAUAUGCAUGUACAUUAUAUACAUGUAUACAUACUUAUUAAAUAGUCAGUUUUCAUCGAUCUAAGGACUCCGUUACACAUAAGUAAUAUGGCAACACAAGAAAUGGAAUCACAGUAUGAGAGUAUCAACAGGACGCAAGAGAAUGAACAUCCCUAUGACACAUGUAAGGUCGGUAACAAAGAAACAGGUGACGAUGCAAUGGAAAUGAAAACAAAAACGGAUGGGUCAAUAAAAAUCAAAAGUGUAGACCAAUCAUGGAAGCUGUGGAUUAAAAUAAUUCUUGUUGUGGCGAUAGUGUCAUUGGUGUUCUUUUGUAUUUCUAUAACAGUUACUGUACUGAUGAAAACAAAGAACGUUGUGUUGACGUCAUGUGUACUACACAAUAAAACUUACUCAAGCUAUGAAACAAUAGUAUUUCCAUUGACGAUAACUUCAGACGGAAUUAGCAACAUAGAAACCUUCGAAACUACAGGACAGUUUACAUGUGAGACUCCCGGAUUUUACAUGCUAUCGGUGUUCAUCACGUCAAGCACAGCAGAUGUUAGGUACAAACUGAUGAGGAAUUAUGAGGUUAUAUCGAGAGUUUAUAUGAUUGUAAACACAAAAGACCUGCAUGACUUCCGCACAGGUUCAGCUACCGUGACAGUUAAACUGGCAGUUGAUGACACUUUGUAUGUAAAAUCAUCCAAUUUAAAUGUGCGUCCAAGCUCUGAUUCUUGUCUGACAAUCGUCAAAGUUGGAUGAUAUCGUACGUCAAUACAAUACAAACAAAAGUUUAACUUUUUCAAAAAGAUAUGACUUCGGAGAAAGCCUGUACCCUGUCAGGAGUAUGAUUGUUGUUUUCCAUUCGUUCCGUUCCUUGAUAUAGUCGAGCGUUUGAUUUUGUCCGUUUUUAUGGACUCCCCCUUUUUGAAUUUACCUUAGAGCUCGGUAUUUUCGUAUAAAAGUUGUUUUCGCUAUAUAAUAAAUUCAAGUCAGCUUGUAUUUUUUUUGGGGUGAUUUUCAGAAGAAAAAAAAAGAUAUUUGUUUGAUUCAGAAGUGUUUUUUAUUUUAAUGUUUUGAUACUUUUAUUGUGGUUUCAGUUUCAUUAUCAGUAAUUUGAUGUAAAAAACUACCUUCCCGUUAUUACUGACUGAAUAUUUUUACUCUAUUGAGUUGAUUACCGUCUGACAGGUAUCUUUCUGGUUGAUACGCACGACUUCAACGUCACCUGAAGUACACAGCGAGAGUAUCUAAUAAAUUGAUGCUUUAUUUUUUAUCAUGUUCCGAGGUUUAAAUGUACAAUGUUGACUUUAUAUACCUGUGUGUUAGUUAUUUUCUUAUACUGUUAUAUAAAGUGCCGUUUUAGGCUCAUACUUUCUAAAUUGUAUUACCUGCUAUCGUAACAAAUAAAAAUAUAACAAUUGCAACCGAUCGAAAUAACACACAAGGGAACAGAGCUAUAUCAAUAUCCUAUUAUAUGUAAUGACUUAUGAUGAUAUUAAAACCAUACACAGUUAUGCAUAGGAAAUAAUGUGAAUAAAACAAAUCGUUUUAUACAGAUGAAAGCAAAGGAAAUGCGUUAUAAUAAAUGCAUUAAUUUUUACUAUCAGCGCUUAUCCAACAUUAUAUGAUCCAAAAGCAACAAAUUCAUCGUUCGGAUCUCGAAUACCCAUACUGUGAGACCAUCCGUAUAUAAUUACUUCUCCCCUUCUUAAUGUUUUCUAAAUUUCGUAAAUCAUUCAAGCCCAUAGAAUAUUAGCUACACCAAUAAACAACCUAUCAGAACGAUUUUUGAUUAGUUAUGAGUCAAAGAUGGCGUGUAUAUCGACUAAAACUAAGCAAAGCAAAUAUACGGGGACGAUAAUUUGAUGAUCAAGUGGGUGGCAGGAUGAUUUGAAAAU
Molecule: long non-coding RNA, 1896 nt
Organism: Mytilus californianus (California mussel)
Lineage: Eukaryota; Metazoa; Mollusca; Bivalvia; Mytilida; Mytilidae
Exons: 3
Source: RefSeq, a predicted model, not a curated record